GAGUGCAAAUUUAUUGUUAAGACAUCAAGUUGAUAACUUAGCAACCAAAAGAAAAUGAGAAAAAAAAAACAGAAGAGAGUUGGAAUAAGUUACUAAACAGAACUUGUACUUGGCACGGAUCUCGUUAGUGGCCCAUAGGUUCAUAAGGUAAAUCUUGGGUAGCACAUCACUCAUGAUCAUACCAACUCAAGGUACAUGUACAGAAGAGGUUCAAAAUGUCGCAUCAACACACACAUGCGCGCGUCAUCAUCAUCAGUCAUCGUCAUACAUCAUUCUCUGACAAUCCUUUACCUUUUGGUCGUAGAGAUUUGGCUUUACGAAAGAUCCAGCCCAAUUAAGAGAUACAGACGCUUUACCAUGAUUUAUCUUGAGAUCUUUAGGUAGUGUUGUCGCCAGAACUGCAAAGUACUCUUGCCAUUUAAGGAAAGAGAAUUCAAGCCUAUCAAGGCAGUUAAGCAAGUCUUCAAUGAGAAGAUAGGUACCUGUGGCUUCUUCCUCUGCAUAUAUAACAUCAUGGCUUUUAAGAUCCAACUGAAAUGAAAGAAACCAACCAAGAAGAUGAGGUUCACAAUGGUAGUUAUUAUGCGUGACGUGUAAGUUUUCUGUUUUCGAACACGAAACAAAGUAAGAUAAAGAGACACAAAGUAUGUAUUUCCAGUUAUGUUCAGUUAGUCAGAGUCGCAAACACAGAGUGUAACUUUUGUUUGUAGGAAGAAGGAAGCGUACAUGUACAAUAGGUCAAUUGUGUAGUCAACGUCUUAUAUCUAACAAACCAAAGUGAAAGAUACAGUACAUAGUGCUUGAUUUUGCAAAAUUUUGUUUAGUAGAUUUGUAUGAUUUAUCUC
Long non-coding RNA from Brassica napus (rape), 845 nucleotides. RefSeq lists it as uncharacterized. Lineage: Eukaryota; Viridiplantae; Streptophyta; Magnoliopsida; Brassicales; Brassicaceae. The record is from RefSeq and is a predicted model, not a curated record. The transcript has 2 exons.